Non-coding RNA from Bos taurus (domestic cattle), 73 nucleotides. The record is from Rfam. Lineage: Eukaryota; Metazoa; Chordata; Mammalia; Artiodactyla; Bovidae.
UUCCUGGUGGCUCAGAUGAUAAAGUGUCUGCCUAUAAUGCGGGAGACCCAGGUUCAAUGCCUGGGUCGGGAAG